GCUGGGACGAUAAGGGGGUGU
RNAcentral lists this microRNA (21 nucleotides) under Scyliorhinus torazame (cloudy catshark). RNAcentral's name for it is "Sto-Mir-204-P4_3p* (star (passenger))". The record is from RNAcentral. Lineage: Eukaryota; Metazoa; Chordata; Chondrichthyes; Carcharhiniformes; Scyliorhinidae.